AUGUUCAACCAGGCCCUCUUGGCGCGUCAGGCCUGGCGGCUCCUCUCAAAUCCAGACAGUCUCUGUGCACGAGUUCUUAAGGCGUGGUACUACCCAAAUGGAAGCCUUGAGGAUACGGCUUUCUCGGGUGCAUCGGCAACUUGGCAAGGAGUGCAACAUGGCUUGGAGUUAUUGAAAAAGGGCAUGAUAUGACGUGUCGGGAAUGGUAGCUCAAUUCGGAUAUGGCGUGAUAGCUGGAUUCCGAGGAAGGGAGUUGGCAGACCUAUCACACCUUAAGGCCGGUGCAGGAUGAGCAGGGUCACUGAGCUACUUGACAACUACGGCAACUGGCGGCAAGGACUAAUACGGGAGACUUUCUUUCCUGUUGACGCAGAAGAGAUAUUGAAAAUAAAGACCUCACCACGCAUGGAUGACAAUCUUAUUGCUUGGGCGUAUGAGCGGAAUGGAUGCUUCUCGGUACGGAGUGUUUAUCGACUUGCUCUAGAGGAUCGUCUCGGGCCUUCAUCAGUCGCGGCGAGCAGGGCACCGGACGGGCGGCGAGCCGUCUAGGCUUUUAUUCGGAGGUGCCCUGCUCCUCCUAGGGUUCGCACCUUUUUCUGGCGCCUUCUCAUAGAUUGUCUGCCCACACGGGUGAACAAGAAACGUCGAGGACUGGAAAUCUCUGACAUGUGCCCCCUCUGUGCAACUAGACCGCCGGCGAGAUGGGUGCUGCCGCCGGCCGGAUGGACGAAAUUGAACGUCGAUGGUUCUUUCUGUCCGCGUACUGGCUCGGCAGGUGCGGGCAUGGUGCUUCAAGACAGCUCAGGGGCGAUCAUAUUCUCAUCGUGCAGACAAUUUCGUGCGUGCUCGGAUGCACUGGAGGCAGAACUAUCUGCAUGCAUGGAGGGCGUCAACCUUGCACUGCAGUGGACGCAAAUGCCAGUUAUGGUGGAGACUGAUUGCUUGGUCGGCUAUAAUAUGUUAACAGGACCGGAGCGUGAUAGGUCUUGGUAUGCCAUGCUGGUUGACCAAACCAAGAGACUUAUGAGGGAAGGGAGAAAUUGUAAGCUCACUCAUGUAGGAGCAAAAUGGCGUCAGCCACUACCUAGCAAGCUUUGGUUGAGUACAAGAGCGCACUACUGUGUGGCUUGGUUCAGGGCCCGACGAUGUGCCGGACCUUUGUAA
This 1164-nucleotide ribosomal RNA is filed under the name Triticum aestivum (bread wheat). RNAcentral's name for it is "partial small subunit ribosomal RNA". Lineage: Eukaryota; Viridiplantae; Streptophyta; Magnoliopsida; Poales; Poaceae. The record is from RNAcentral.